UGUUUUGGAAUGUUAUACAUCCGCCUAUGGU
RNAcentral lists this non-coding RNA (31 nucleotides) under Rattus norvegicus (Norway rat). The record is from RNAcentral. Lineage: Eukaryota; Metazoa; Chordata; Mammalia; Rodentia; Muridae.